CUUUGAAUUUGAAUAUUUUGGAUAUCAAUGAACUCUCUGUUAUCCUAGGAAAUGGUGCUGAGUAGUUUAAAAGUUACGUAUUUCUUAUAUAUAGCUAGUAUCCCUUUGAGAAGCUCCUUUGAAUAGGAGGAAAUCAUUGUUCCAGAAUUUUCAAAGCACUCUUAAAAAAAAAAAUUCACUGCCUAAAGAUAUGUCUAAAUUCUUUAGUCUGCUUUUGAAUCCUACCAUGUCAAAAACCUCAAUGUACUUUUCCUGCUUUAUUGCCCCUUAAAUUCACAAAUGAAACCAUAGGUUCAGCUGAACUUGUUAAUUUACUGUCUCAAAGUGUACCCAUGCCUUCUUGCUUUUGUACUACCUAUGACUUUUACAUGGAAUGUCUUUUCCUGACCUAAGCAAAGCCUUCCCAUUUUCCAGAAUCUGGUUUACAAAACCAUGUCCACAUUGACGUCCCUGGCUACUCCAGCUAAAACUGUACUUUGCAAAUGAAUCCAUUAGCACUUAUUAGUUUUGCAGUGCUGCGGAUCAAACCCAGGGCUUCAUGCGUACUAGGCGAGUAUUCUACCCCAGCCCUGAAUGUACAAUUUUUAUUUAGACUUUUCUUAAACGCUUCUUCACAUUCUUGCAUUAAUUUUCCAGUUUCAUUUUAAAUUUCUUGAUGGCAGGAAAACUUUUCUCAUCUUUUGUGUCUGUCCCUUAAAGUUACUAAGCACCAAACUUUGUGCAGGGUAUGUAUUUAAUAGCUGUAUUUUGAUUAAACAGUGGUGUCACUGACUGUUUUGAGCCCCGGUGUUGGAAUUUUUUAAAAUCAGUGAUCCUAGGUAAGGAUCAAUCCUUUACCUACAACAAUGUAUAGGAAUAAAAAACUGAUUAUUCUGCUUAAUUGAGAGUUGGUCAUUUUUACAAGACCCAAACUUAAUUUCAGGUAUAUAUUUCUUUUAAAAAUGUUUCAUGAAGCUUAUUUUGUGUUUGGUAGCAUUUUGCCCUUAACCUUACAAAAGGCACAGCUAUGCCUUAUAUUCUUUUACAGCUACUCUUCACCUGGGAUCCAGAGGUCUGAAGUGUUUGAUGGUGGGUUAGAUGGGUCAUCAGUCAUUCUGCUCCAGAACAUCUUAGGAGGUCAUGUUGUGACAUUCAGUGAGUCAUAGUAUGUAGUAUGUUCUGUGUUCAAAAGUUAAUAUUUUUUUCUAUUAUUGGAAGCAUAAUUGCAUCACUGUUCAAACUUAAAAUGAUUUGGGGAUACUUGUUGGUGAAUGG
This 1254-nucleotide long non-coding RNA is filed under the name Marmota monax (woodchuck). Lineage: Eukaryota; Metazoa; Chordata; Mammalia; Rodentia; Sciuridae. The record is from RNAcentral.